CCUACGGGAGGCAGCAGUGAGGAAUAUUGGUCAAUGGACGAGAGUCUGAACCAGCCAAGUCGCGUGAAGGAUGACUGCUCUAUGGGUUGUAAACUUCUUUUAUAUGGGAAUAAAAUGCUCCACGUGUGGGAUUUUGUAUGUACCUUAUGAAUAAGCAUCGGCUAACUCCGUGCCAGCAGCCGCGGUAAUACGGAGGAUCCGAGCGUUAUCCGGAUUUAUUGGGUUUAAAGGGAGCGUAGGCGGAGUGUUAAGUCAGUUGUGAAAGUUUGCGGCUCAACCGUAAAAUUGCAGUUGAAACUGGCGGUCUUGAGUACAGUAGAGGUAGGCGGAAUUCGUGGUGUAGCGGUGAAAUGCUUAGAUAUCACGAAGAACUCCGAUUGCGAAGGCAGCUCACUGGACUGCAACUGACGCUGAGGCUCGAAAGUGUGGGUAUCAAACAGGAUUAGAUACCCGAGUAGUC
RNAcentral lists this ribosomal RNA (460 nucleotides) under uncultured bacterium. RNAcentral describes it as "partial 16S ribosomal RNA". It matches the Rfam family "Bacterial small subunit ribosomal RNA", at positions 338 to 795 of the family's 1533-position model. The record is from RNAcentral.